GAAAGCCAUCUAGAUACAUUUGUUGGUUCUUGAUCUUCUGGUUGCAAGGGUUCUAUGAGAAUGAGUUUUCCAUUUGGUGGCAAAGCUUUGUAACAAUUGGUAAACAUUUUUAUGCACUUUUCAUCUGACCAGUUAUGGCUGACAGCCUAGAGCAAUAAAAUAUAUCCAAGGAUACAAAAACAUUGUUAAGAACUAUCUUAUAGAUAAUCAGUGAUAUUAUCACAAAUUCUUCAGUUAUUAAUUGGUGGUUUUUUUGUCUAAAACAAUCACAAAUUAAUAACCUAAGAAUUAAUACAUCCAUAUUAGUUUUAAUAAAUGAGUAUUUUAGCAACAUAUCUAAUAAUAUAUAUAACAAAUUUUUUAUUUAUCACUUAUCAUAUUCCUUCUAAAAAAAUUAGUGGAUGUAUUUUAGCAAAUAUCAAUAGAAGCUGCUAGCUUAUACCUAUUUAUAUUUUAGAAUGUUUUAACGACACACUGUAUUUAACCACAAUUUAGUUAUAACUUGGUAAAACACUUAGCAUGCGUUUGACAUAACAACUUCAAUUGUACACAGUCUUUGAUUUGUAAAACUGUUUCUGGCACAAGAUAAACUAGAGGUAAGGGACAUGACAAAAAAAAAAAAAAAAUUGUCCAUCACUAAACCACAAGGUAACUUUUUGCCCCUCAUACAAGUUAUCUGAAAUAAAAAAAAAUAGUUUUUUGUCGACCAAAAAUAGUAUAAGACAAAAAAUUAUUCAAUAUCAUAAAAGUUUAUCAUGUGCUAUUGUGUCUUGCAUUCUGCUGUUAUGUCUUGUGUUGUUCUGUUUAAUACAUACAAUUUAGCAAAUCAAACACACCCUUUAAUAUAAAAACUAAAACUAGUGGGUAUAGGUCAGCAAAUCCGAUAUACACAUAUACCUUAAUCAUUAUGACAUCUCCUUGUGGAACACUUUCAAACAUAUUUCCUCCAACAUAUUCAAUGCCUAAAUGAAAUUUGGAAAUUAAAUUGGUUAUUAUAUAUACAAAAAUAAAUUAUUACAUGAGAAUUGGAUUACCUGGAAAAGGUGGUGUAUUUUCAAUUACUUGUGGAAGGUCAAAAUUGAUUGCCUUUAUUGAUGGGUAUUUAGAGAUAAUCAUUUUGAGACUUUGCCCUGUUCCACCACCUACAUCAACCAGUGUUGAUAUUCCCUCAAAUCCUUGGUAUAUUUCAAGGAUUCUUUUCAUGUGAGUUGUGCAUGUAUCCGUCAUUGAUUUGUUAAAUAUUUCAUUUAUCUGUGGAUCUUUCUUAAAGUAUUCAAACAUUGUUAUUCCAUGAACUUUUUUGAACAGGUCACCCUCUGGAUCAAUAAUUGCUUCCUUAAAAUUCAACCUACACAUUAUAAAAAUACCUUUUACAUAUAUCAACAAGCUAUUAGCAAGUAAUAUUUUUUUCUUUAAAAGAAGGUUAUGUUGUCAUGCUAAACUAAAUUAAAGAGGUGAUAAACUUGUGCGUAUAUUAAAUUAUAGAGUUGAUAAACUUGUGCGUAUAUUUAAUUAUGGGAUCAAAUCACCCAUAUUCAAACUUAGAGGCUCAAUUACAAUAUUUAAUAAUAUUAGGUGAGAUAUAUACAAAAUAACCCAACCUGUCUGUUGAAUUCAAAACUUUUAUAAAGCAUAUCAAAAUUAAAAAUUUCAUAUAAUAGGUCACAAAUUAUUUGACACUCAAUUGUAAUGAUUUUGUUAAAGAGUCCCGCAUUAACAUAAGCUGGUUUGAACAUGUGUUUAUAAGUAAGGACAAUUCUGAUUUCAAAAGUUGGUUUUUUGGGAUUGUGUUAGGUCCAGUCACGAUUUCUAAGGAGGUAUCGGGGCCUCUCCAAGAUUCGUUGGGCCACUUGUUAUCAGGUUUGAAAAUUGCGCUUCUCCCUCUCCCUUUCAAAAUUGUUCAUUCCCAUGAUCGGCUUUUUUUCAACGUGAUUUACGCAGGGCAUUUUUCAGUGUGAAUUAACUCACACAUGCACUUGAAUGAGCAAAAACAAAAGGGAGAAGGACAAUUUUUAUCAGGUUUUCGAUAUCGGGUCACCCACCAUUUAUUCCACCAACCAAGCCCGAUGGUCAUGAGGAAAUGUAUUAAAGAGUCCCACAUCAAACAUUAGAUGACAUGAACAUGCGUUUAUAAUUAUGGGCAAUUUUCACAUCACAAAUUUGUUUUGUGGGGUUUUGUUAGACUCAACCACUCUUUCUAAGAGAUUUAUUUUGACGGUAUUUAAUAAAUUAAUAAGUAAAUAUUUCUCACAAAAAUAAUAGUUCAAGGUCAGAAGAUUGAUAAAUUUCAAUUCUUACAUGUGCUUUUUUUUUUUUUUUUUUUUUUUUUUUUUCUUUUGGUUUUGAGGAAUUAUGUUUUCAUACAUUAGCUUAUUAACUACUCUAUUUGUUGUAAAUUGACUACAUCAAUCAAGUUUUAGAAAUACUUACCACA
Molecule: long non-coding RNA, 2434 nt
Filed under: Medicago truncatula (barrel medic)
Lineage: Eukaryota; Viridiplantae; Streptophyta; Magnoliopsida; Fabales; Fabaceae
Description: long non-coding RNA (MTRU_LNC004695)
Source: RNAcentral